GACGAACGCUGGCGGCGUGCUUAACACAUGCAAGUCGAACGGUAAGGCCCUUCGGGGUACACGAGUGGCGAACGGGUGAGUAACACGUGGGUGAUCUGCCCUGCACUUUGGGAUAAGCCUGGGAAACUGGGUCUAAUACCGAAUAGGACUGCGCACUGCAUGGUGUGUGGUGGAAAGCUUUUGCGGUGUGGGAUGGGCCCGCGGCCUAUCAGCUUGUUGGUGGGGUGAUGGCCUACCAAGGCGACGACGGGUAGCCGGCCUGAGAGGGUGACCGGCCACACUGGGACUGAGAUACGGCCCAGACUCCUACGGGAGGCAGCAGUGGGGAAUAUUGCACAAUGGGCGCAAGCCUGAUGCAGCGACGCCGCGUGAGGGAUGACGGCCUUCGGGUUGUAAACCUCUUUCAGCACAGACGAAGCGCAAGUGACGGUAUGUGCAGAAGAAGGACCGGCCAACUACGUGCCAGCCGCCGCCGUAA
Molecule: ribosomal RNA, 478 nt
Filed under: uncultured bacterium
Lineage: Bacteria
Description: partial 16S ribosomal RNA
Rfam family: Bacterial small subunit ribosomal RNA
Source: RNAcentral